UUGCCUCAGUAGCGGCGAGUGAAGCGGCAAAAGCUCAAAUUUGAAAUCUGGUACUUUCAGUAUCCGAAUUGUAAUUUGUAGAAGUAACUUUGAACAUGAGUCUUGCAUAAGUUCCUUGGAACAGGACGUCAUAGAGGGUGAGAAUCCCGUUUAUGGUAAGACCCCCAGUUUUUGUAAAGUGCUUUCAAAGAGUCGAGUUGUUUGGGAAUGCAGCUCUAAGUGGGUGGUAAAUUCCAUCUAAAGCUAAAUAUUUGCGAGAGACCGAUAGCGAACAAGUACAGUGAUGGAAAGAUGAAAAGAACUUUGAAAAGAGAGUGAAAAAGUACGUGAAAUUGUUGAAAGGGAAGGGCUUUAAAUCAGACAUGGUAUUCAGUGAUCAGCUUCCUUUCGGGGUUGUGCACUUGCUGUUUACCGGGCCAACAUCAGUUUAGAGGGUAGGAUAAUGGUGAAAGAAUGUGGCUUGAUUCGUCAAGUGUUAUAGCUUUUAUUGAUACUACCAUUUUGGACUGAGGACCGCGCAUUUUUGCUAGGAUGUUGGCGUAAUGGUUUUAAGCCA
This 556-nucleotide ribosomal RNA is filed under the name Zygoascus sp. ChDrAdgY38. RNAcentral describes it as "eukaryotic LSU rRNA". It matches the Rfam family "Eukaryotic large subunit ribosomal RNA", at positions 75 to 647 of the family's 3401-position model. RNAcentral also lists the same sequence under 2 other names. Lineage: Eukaryota; Fungi; Ascomycota; Dipodascomycetes; Dipodascales; Trichomonascaceae. The record is from RNAcentral.